UACGUAGGUGGCAAGCGUUGUCCGGAUUUAUUGGGUUUAAAGGGUGCGUAGGCGGUCUAUUAAGUCAGUUGUGAAAUACGGCAGCUCAACUGUCGAGGUGCAAUUGAUACUGAUGGACUUGAGUACUGAUGAGGUAAGCGGAAUGGACGGUGUAGCGGUGAAAUGCGUAGAGAUGUGGAGGAACACCGAUGGCGAAGGCAGCCUUCUGGGCCAACACUGACGCUCAUGCACGAAAGCGUGGGGAGCAAACAGG
This 253-nucleotide ribosomal RNA is filed under the name uncultured bacterium. RNAcentral describes it as "partial 16S ribosomal RNA". It matches the Rfam family "Bacterial small subunit ribosomal RNA", at positions 524 to 776 of the family's 1533-position model. The record is from RNAcentral.